RNAcentral lists this ribosomal RNA (397 nucleotides) under uncultured bacterium. Its description in RNAcentral is "partial 16S ribosomal RNA". It matches the Rfam family "Bacterial small subunit ribosomal RNA", at positions 523 to 918 of the family's 1533-position model. The record is from RNAcentral.
AUACGUAGGGGGCGAGCGUUGUCCGGAAUGAUUGGGCGUAAAGGGCGCGUAGGCGGCCCGGUAAGUCUGGAGUGAAAGUCCUGUUUUUAAGAUGGGAAUUGCUUUGGAUACUGUCGGGCUUGAGUGCAGGAGAGGUAAGUGGAAUUCCCAGUGUAGCGGUGAAAUGCGUAGAGGUUGGGAGGAACACCAGUGGCGAAGGCGACUUACUGGACUGUAACUGACGCUGAGGCGCGAAAGUGUGGGGAGCAAACAGGAUUAGAUACCCUGGUAGUCCACACUGUAAACGAUGAAUGCUAGGUGUAGGGGGUAUCGACCCCUUCUGUGCCGCAGUCAACACAAUAAGCAUUCCGCCUGGGGAGUACGGCCGCAAGGUUGAAACUCAAAGGAAUUGACGGGG